Molecule: long non-coding RNA, 2787 nt
Organism: Megalobrama amblycephala (Wuchang bream)
Lineage: Eukaryota; Metazoa; Chordata; Actinopteri; Cypriniformes; Xenocyprididae
Exons: 5
Source: RefSeq, a predicted model, not a curated record
UCGUGAUUUCGAUUUAUUGUGCAGCCCUAGUUUGUGUUAGUGGUACUGUUUAAAUGUGUUUUGGUCAAAGUCAGGGUAGGUAAUUUGGUUCAAAAACAUUGAUACGCUUGUUGAAAUUCGCCUCACAUCCCGAUAGCAAACAAUAAGUUAAGUGGUCUAUAUUUAUUUAUUUAUUUAUAUGUAUUAAUAUCGUCUAGGUGUAGGACCAUAGAAUGUUCGUCCAAUCAAAAUAUUCGGUCCGAACUUUACGAUAGGCUAUUUUGCCUGCCUGUCAAGUAUGUAUUUGCAUAUCUCUGCACACCCUGUUUAUGAUGUGAUCUAUCAUAAGCGUGUUCUAGCGAGAAUGAAAGGUGCUAUUAUUGCAAUAUUAUGCACUUUGCACUGUAAUGUUUUCUCAACGGUGAAUGAAGCAUGAGGUAAUCUGACAGCGUGGCAUUUAAUCCUCCACCAAAGCCGUCUCUCAUCGUGUCACUGGUUAGUCUCUGCUCUGCCUGAGUGCGUUCAUUUGUUUUGGAGGAGGUGUGGCUUUGCAGAGUGAUUAUGCUGGGAGGGUGGGAAUCUUAUGCUUUUAAAGCUAGCUUGCUAUUACUAGCCUUUACGAAAUCGCCUACCCUACCUUUAUGUAGUUUAAACUGUUUAACAGUUUUCUGUUGAUUUUUAUUUAAUUUAGGUCGGGGUGUGUUUGCAAAAACCCCUAUCUCACAAGGUUCCUUUAUUCUGGAGUACAGAGGAACUUUAGUGGAAAAAGGGAAAUUGUGAAAAUAUGUAAAUAAUAAUUAUGCAUACUUUUUCAAACACAGAGGGCGUGACUGCUGGUGAGUAGCCUGUAUUUUACUGUAUUUUAAAAAUGUGUUUCUUAACCCUGAAACUAAAUAUCAACACAGUUUUGGGGCAGGUUAUAGUGAUUACUAAUUAUGUAUUCCUUUCCAGAGCAUAACUUUAGUGAACAUUUGUAACAAUAAUUUUUUUCCCUAUAUAGCAUUGAUGCCUCCUUUGAUGACGGCUCUCUUGGGAGACUUGUAAAUGACAGCCCAAAGCCAAAUGGCAAAAUAAAAAAAAAUUAACUGGAUGGAAAGCCUCAUCUUUGUUUAUUUUCAAUGAAAGACAUAAAUAAAGAUGAGGAGAUCACUUAUGAUUAUGGAGGACAAGACUUGCCAUGGCGUUCUCACUGUGGGCAGGAACUGUGCAAGGAUGUCAACCCCCUAUAGUCACCAAACACCACUUAGAAUUGUGUUUCAACCUGCAAAAGCCAAAGAGCUUUGUAAAUAAAAUAGACAUAGGCACAUACAAGACGACCACAACAUGUGCCGAUGGACAGAACGUAUAUAUGUCCAUCAGAAAUGGUAGUGACCCAGAAUUUGAAGAGGGUGGGUCAUACGUAGUCAAAAAUUACACCCUCUCCAGAAAAUAUGGGCGGCCGUGCUUGUUUCUCACUCGCGCGACAAGAAAAUUCAGAACAGCUCUAUUGGCUGUAGUGGAGUCAGCAGAAAGAGCUGCUAAGGAGGUCCUCUACCCCCUUCCCAAUAUAUGACUGGUGAAGACAUUUUCUCAAACACCGGUCAUCUUAGUCUGAAGGGAAAGAUUGAAAAAUUGCAAAUGGCCAGGAUAACUCAGGCCUAGGUUCCUAUCCUUCCUGGACCUUAGUUUGAGGUGUGGAUCCAAACUCCAUGAGGUCUCAUUAUGGAGAGAUGAAGCGUUGGUUGGUGGACCAUGUGGAGCUCACCCACCUAAAGGCAAACAUCAGGCCAAAAGGCACUGGAAAGUUUGACUCUUCAAACUACACAAGUGUCAAGGUGUACAAUAUUAUUAUUACCAACAAGAAUUCAUACACAGGACUACACUGCUGCUGCUUGACCUAACACAAAUCCAUCUGCAUCUGGACCACAGAAAUAAAAAUCCAUUCUACAAAAAGCUUGAGCAAGCUUUCAAAGAAAAAGCAAAUGGAAGAUUUAUUUUGGAAAUGUGGAGUUGAGAGUCCAACAUCAGGAACAAUAUGCUCAACUCCUCUAUUCAACACUACCUCAUCCCAGACUACAGCUUCACAGGCCUCAAGCUCCCAAGAACAGCUUCUCCCAGAAGAGCAACCAGGUCCCUCCACUGCAGAAACACACAGGAGACAAACACUCUAUGAUGUUUUGAAGCACAUUCAGAGGAGAACAGCUGCUCUAGAGUCACUAGUGCGGCCUGACUGAGCGCCGAAGAAGGCUUAAAGAGAGGCGAAGAAGAGUGUUUGAAACAAAAAACUCUAACCUGCCUUAGAGAAAUAAUUCAACCGCUAAAAAAAAAAUCUGUAAAUCACAGGAAAUGAUAAUUGUUCUCUUAAAAAUAGUUGAACUAUAUACACUCCAUUCCCCUGUGCAUCACAUCAUUUACAACACCGGCAGAAGGCUUUGGUGUCUUGGCCUGAAACAGUUCUUCUCUGCCUCUGCCUUCCUCUUUGCCUUUCCUCUGUCGUCACCUUCCUUUUCAGCACUCAUUUUCAAUACUUUUAUACUUCUAAACUAUCGAACUCAGCUUGGAAACAACUGGCGCCGCCGCAUGAACAUUAACUUUUGCUCAUGAGCGUGAGAGUCAUUCUCCACGAUGAUUGGCUGAGAAGACAUUACGUGAUAUGAGAUGCGUAGCACCGAGUUAACUUUCUCAUCACAAUCAUGAAUCAUCCACAGCUAGAUAAACAAGUGAAGAGUUUGGUUCCAAAACGCGAUAAACGCCAUUUUCAAAAAAUUUAGUUUCCGCCAAAAUCAGUAUUGUAUCUAGUCGGUAUUGAAAAGUCAUUUAUUAAUUUUG